UCAUCAUGGAAGCAAGGUAUACAUGUACCCAAUCUCAUAGUGUCUCAACUACACUAAUGUGAUCAUCUCAAGGAAACAUCAACAAUGUCAUUCAUCAUAGUUUUUCUAACUAGAUGCCACUUGUCAUAGUUUUCUAAACUAGAUGCCACUCGUCAAUUUGACUCAUUAUCAACACUAGUUUCAUCAUACUAGUUCUUUAGCAACAUAAGCAUUAAUCAUCUCAUAUAGGGUUAAAUCUCAUCAUCAAACUCUAUCAUUUAAUCUCAUGCAUACUAGUUUAUAAAUCACUCAAUCAACCAUAUCUAUAGCUACUAGCAUGCAAAUUAAGCAACAUUAUAAAUCUUUAACCCUGUAAGAACAUGCACAAUAUGCAAAGAGAUCAUUAUUAAACUUAGACAUAG
Molecule: long non-coding RNA, 401 nt
Filed under: Ananas comosus (pineapple)
Lineage: Eukaryota; Viridiplantae; Streptophyta; Magnoliopsida; Poales; Bromeliaceae
Description: long non-coding RNA (ACOM_LNC042226)
Source: RNAcentral